CCUACGGGAGGCAGCAGUAAGGAAUUUUCGUCAAUGGGGGAAACCCUGAACGAGCAACGCCGCGUGGAGGAUGAAGGUCUUCGGAUUGUAAACUCCUUUUAUACGGGACGAUAAUGACGGUACCGUAGGAAUAAGCCCCGGCUAACUCUGUGCCAGCAGCCGCGGUAAUACAGAGGGGGCAAGCGUUGUCCGGAAUUACUGGGCGUAAAGCGCACGCAGGUGGUCACGCAAGUGGUGUGUGAAACCAAUCAGCUUAACUGAUUGACGCCAUGCCAAACUGCGAGACUGGAGGGAUGGAGAGGUUGUUCGAAUUGCUGGUGUAGUGGUGAAAUGCGUAGAGAUCAGCAGGAAGACCAAGGGCGAAAGCAGACAACUGGCCAUCACCUGACACUGAGGUGCGAAAGCGUGGGGAGCGAACUGGAUUAGAUACCCAGGUAGUCCACGCCGUAAACGAUGUAUACUCGGUAUCUGGACUGUUACAGGUUUGGGUACCUCAGGAAACCCGGUAAGCAUACCGCCUGGGAAGUACGAACGCAAGUUUAAAACUCAAAGGAAUUGACGG
Molecule: ribosomal RNA, 562 nt
Filed under: uncultured bacterium
Lineage: Bacteria
Description: bacterial SSU rRNA
Rfam family: Bacterial small subunit ribosomal RNA
Source: RNAcentral